Long non-coding RNA from Oncorhynchus tshawytscha (Chinook salmon), 364 nucleotides. The record is from Ensembl. NCBI's taxonomy places the organism in Eukaryota, Metazoa, Chordata, Actinopteri, Salmoniformes, Salmonidae.
GUCAGGGAGGCAGACUCAAGGUCAGGGCAGGCAGAACAAGGUCAGGGCAGGCAGAAUCAAGGUCAGGGCAGGCAGACUCAAGGUCAGGGAGGGCAGAGUCAAGUCAGGGAGGGCAGACUCAAGGUCAGGGCAGGCAGAGUCACGGUCAGGGAAGGCAGACUCAAGGUCAGGGCAGGCAGAGUCAAGGUCAGGGCAGGCAGACUCAAGGUCAGGGCAGGCAGAGUCAAGGUCAGGGCAGGCAGAGUCAAGGUCAGGGCAGGCAGAGUCAAGGUCAGGGCAGGCAGAGUCAAGGUCAGGGCAGGCAGAAUCAAGGUCAGGGCAGGCAGAGUCAAGGUCAGGGCAGGCAGAGUCAAGGUCAGGGCAG